RNAcentral lists this ribosomal RNA (251 nucleotides) under uncultured prokaryote. RNAcentral's name for it is "partial 16S rRNA". It matches the Rfam family "Bacterial small subunit ribosomal RNA", at positions 525 to 775 of the family's 1533-position model. The record is from RNAcentral.
ACGUAGGGGGCAAGCGUUGCUCGGAAUUACUGGGCGUAAAGGGUGUGUAGGUGGCUGAUUAAGUUAAGGAUGAAAUCCCGAGGCUCAACUUCGGAACUGUCCUUGAUACUGGUCAGCUUGAGGUUAGUAAAGGAGAGCGGAAUUCCCGGUGAAGCGGUGAAAUGCGUAGAUACCGGGAGGACCACCAGAGGCGUAGGCGCCUCUCUAGGCUAGACCUGACGCUGAGAAACGAAAGCUAGGGGCGCAAAAGG